This 434-nucleotide ribosomal RNA is filed under the name Dolichomitus imperator. Its description in RNAcentral is "partial 16S ribosomal RNA". Lineage: Eukaryota; Metazoa; Arthropoda; Insecta; Hymenoptera; Ichneumonidae. The record is from RNAcentral.
GUCUUUUAGAUUAUAAUUUAAAGUCAAAUCUGCUCAAUGAUUUAUAUUAAAUAGCUGCGGUAUUUUGACCGUACAAAGGUAGCAUAAUCAAUAGUUUUUUAAUUGAAAGCUAGAAUGAAUGAUUUAAUGAAAUAUAAACUGUCUCAAUUUUAUUAAUUAAAUUUUUUUUAUUAAUUAAAAAAUUAAUAUGAAUUUAAAAGACGAGAAGACCCUAUAGAGUUUAAUUAAUUUAAUUAUAUAUUAUAAUUUAUUUUAUAUAUAAAUAUAAUUUAAUUAAUUUAAUUGGGGUGAUUAAAAAAUUUAAAUAACUUUUUUAAUAAAUUAAUCAUUAAUAAAUGAAUUUUUGAUCUUAAAUAUUAAAAUUAAAAGAUUAAAUUACCUUAGGGAUAACAGCGUAAUUUUAUUGGAGAGAUCAUAUUGAUAAUAAAGAUUGC